UACAGAGGGUGCAAGCGUUAAUCGGAAUUACUGGGCGUAAAGGGCGCGUAGGUGGAUAUAUAAGUUAGAUGUGAAAGACCUGGGCUUAACCUGGGAGUGCCAUUUAAUACUGUGUAUCUGGAGUAUGGUAGAGGGUAGUGGAAUUUCCGGUGUAGCGGUGAAAUGCGUAGAUAUCGGAAGGAACAUCAAUGGCGAAGGCAGCUACCUGGACUGAUACUGACACUGAGGCGCGAAAGCGUGGGUAGCAAACAGG
Molecule: ribosomal RNA, 253 nt
Filed under: uncultured bacterium
Lineage: Bacteria
Description: partial 16S ribosomal RNA
Rfam family: Bacterial small subunit ribosomal RNA
Source: RNAcentral